AUUUGAUUUUGCUUGAAUGACGCUGCGACUGGCGACUGGCGACUGGGGGCAACCCUCAUAAUAAGUGGCGUCAUCAGCUCCAAUGUGAAGAAAAAAUCCUUCUCAAUAUCAGUGCUAGGCUCAAAUUGAGCCAUAUCACGAAAGAUACUGGGCUACAGUUCAACGCAGCUAUCAACUAUCAGCCUGGUCGUUCAAUCAAUAGCCUUUUCAGUGCCUUCUCUUGGGCGUCACCUUGGCUAAGGCAGCUGCACCAGAGUCUACAGUUGCUGCAGCUGCGGAGCCUCACAAGCGUCGCUCGCUGCUCAAUUUCAAGCUGCUGGACUUUCAUAUUAAGACGGUCAUCAUACAGCGGUCUGCGGUAAAACCACAAGCCAACAACAAGCCCAGCUUCAUGCUGAGGCUGCAAAAGAGAUUUUUUGACUUAAACAUGGCGUUGGGUGCGCGCCUACACAUAACCCUUAAUCUGGAGGCAUGCUAUCUAGGCAAAUCACCCACUGGACGUAGGCGUUGUAUUAAAUAUUUGCACGUCAGUGCAACCAAGCGGUCAGCUUGACCUGGGCAGAUGCAAGUGCAAGAGAGAGCAAGCCUCUCAUGGAGCAAGAGCGACAGCGAAUGCAUCAGCUGAGCUGAUGGCUGCAUUUUUCCUUGCAAGAGCAGCUCCGCUAGCUUUCGUUCGGAUGCGCUCACCCGGACAUAGCUGCUGUGAGUGCAUGAGAGCGUCGCUUUUUGGCGGUGGUUGGCUUUUGGGCUGUCUGGGCUUUGUAGAAACGGGAGAAUGGAAAACUCACCUGGGGCUCAUGUAGACAUUGGCGUAGAUCAAAUAUGUGCUGCACCUGCAGGUGGUGCAUUGGAUUCGAUGAGAUUGAUGACCAGCUUGAGUAUGGUCUGCUCAUCGAGCAAAUGCUGUGCUACAUUGCAGUCCAAGCUGAAAUCCUGCAACAGACGCAUUUACAUGGGUGGGUGGUAUCCAGCCCUGACCGCCCUCAAUUUUAAGUUAAGAGGUAACUACCAAAAAUCUGAGGAGAAGUGGGCGGUGCCUUUCGAAUGUUGGUCUAGGCACUUGGCCGUGCGCCGAGCAGCCCGAGUCAAUACCCAAGCUGGCCACCGAUAGCGACAUCAAUCGCAUCGAAUCUAACGCAGUGGCUGGCGCAGCACAUAUUGGAUGAACGCCAAUGUCUACCGGAGCCCCAGGUGAGUUUCUCAUCCUGCCGUCAAAAGAAAGCCCAGACAACUUAAAAGCCAACCACCCAGCAACAGAGGCGACGCUCUCGUGCACUCACAGCAGCAAUGUCCGGGUGAGCGCAUUUGAACGAACGAAAGCUAGCGGAGCUGCUUUCGCUAGGAAAUACGCAGGCAUCAGCUUGGGCCAUGCACUAGCUGUCGCUCUCGCUCUAUGAGAGGCUUGCACCCUUGUGCACUUGCACUCUCUUGCAAUUGCAGUUCAAUCAAAGUGCGUGAGGCUACCAGGCGAGGCCACUUACAGGUUGCAUUGCAGUUGAGUGUGAACAGUUGGCAGUGAAACAAGCAAUAAACAGUUAAUUAAAGAAUAUAAACAUUUUUGGUGGGGGUCUGCUGGCUCGCCGACGGGCAUCUGGGGCAAGGAUCGCAUUGAGGAGGGUCGUCGCCACUGCGAUCGACUGCGCGCGUGACUGACCGAGAAUCUAGGGUGUAGUCCCAACGCAGCUAUUGAUUGCCUGGUUGUUGUAGCAUGAGCCUGUUCAGUGCUUUCUGCUGGGCGCCACGUCGGCCGAGCAGCUGCACCAGAGUCUGCAGUCGCUGCAGCUGUUGCAGGGACUGUCGACGAGCGUUUUGUUGGAAUUGGAGCGUAUUUUGGAGAGCAAGCCAGUGCGACCGUCAGUAAUAUCGACGCUGGCGCUUCGGUCUCGCCUCCUCCACAUGCUUCGGUCAGUCUGCCACCGCUCAGACUAAGCAGCCCCAGUAGCUCCGACUCGCCCAAGUAUAAGGAGGAGGCGUUCAUCGAGGUGACGGAUACAAAUCAGGCUGCCAACCUGAGUUUCUGUGAUAUUCGUGAGAUUAGCCUGAGAAUAGCAAAGCUAUGACAACCACCAGCAUUGCGUUCCAAGCUUCGGCUGACUGCUGACAAAAAAAAAACAACACUAUCAAUUUUUUUUUUGUGCACAUCAAGAUACGUACGAUAAAAUGCAUUUCAAAAUUUGGAUGACUUACACUCUAUAAAAAUGUAUAAAGAUGCUCUCAAUAUUCUCUUUUCAAAAAAACAACAAAAAAGGAAAAAAAUAUAUAAAACGUAAAAUGUCAAAAAAAAAUGUCAGUACAUGGGCUGGUAUUUACAUGAUUAGUAAACAUGUGAAUAUUGUGCAUUGAUAUAUUUUUUGUCAAAACAAAAAAAAUUAAAAAAUUCAAAAUGAAAAAAAAAAUAUAAAACAUAAAAUGAAAAAAAAAAGAAACCAAUCAACACACAUUUGCAUGCAUACAAAAGUUUUAAAUUAACUAUUGUAUGCAUGUACUCGUGUGUAUUUCCAUAACAAGAUACAAACAAAAAAUCCAAAAAAAAUAUAAAAAACAUCAAAACACAAAAAAAGUAUAUACAAAACG
Drosophila busckii is the source of this 2574-nucleotide long non-coding RNA. RefSeq lists it as uncharacterized. The record is from RefSeq and is a predicted model, not a curated record. The transcript has 6 exons. Lineage: Eukaryota; Metazoa; Arthropoda; Insecta; Diptera; Drosophilidae.